RNAcentral lists this ribosomal RNA (455 nucleotides) under bacterium enrichment culture isolate DGGE gel band Amx3. RNAcentral's name for it is "bacterial SSU rRNA". It matches the Rfam family "Bacterial small subunit ribosomal RNA", at positions 387 to 832 of the family's 1533-position model. The record is from RNAcentral.
GGGGGCGACUCCGUCGGUGAGAGCAAGCAUUAAGGUGUGUAAACCCCUGUCAGGAGUUAGGAAUAGCGUUGUUGUUAAUGAUAGCAACGUGUGACGAAGCCUUCAGAGGAAGCCACGGCUAACUCCGUGCCAGCAGCCGCGGUAAUACGGGGGCGGCAAGCGUUGUUCGGAAUCACUGGGUGUAAAGGGCGUGUAGGCGGGUUGGUAAGUCAGAUGUGAAAUCCCACAGCUCAACUGUGGAGGGUCAUCUGAUACUGCUGAUCUUGAGUUCCAGAGAGGGGAGUGGAACUUCUGGAGUAGCGGUGAAAUGCGUAGAUAUCGGGAGGAACACCAGAGGCGAAAGCGAUCACCUGGCUGGAAACUGACGCUGAGUGCGCGAAAGCUAGGGCAGCAAACGGGAUUAGAUACCCUGGUAGUCCUAGCCGUAAACGAUGGGCACUAAGUAGAGGGGUUUU